RNAcentral lists this small nuclear RNA (145 nucleotides) under Anas platyrhynchos (mallard). RNAcentral's name for it is "U1 spliceosomal RNA (ENSAPLG00020009905.1)". It matches the Rfam family "U1 spliceosomal RNA". Rfam says of the family: U1 is a small nuclear RNA (snRNA) component of the spliceosome (involved in pre-mRNA splicing). The record is from RNAcentral. Lineage: Eukaryota; Metazoa; Chordata; Aves; Anseriformes; Anatidae.
AUACUUACCUGGCAGGGGAGACACCAUGAUCAGGCAGGUGGUUUUCCCAGGUGUUCUCUUUCGGUCGUUGGACACUGGUUGGUUCAGGUGGGGAGGACGAUAGAUUCUCUUCAAGUUGGUGAACCUUUUCAGAAAGUUUCUCCAC